Molecule: ribosomal RNA, 823 nt
Filed under: Staphylococcus aureus
Lineage: Bacteria; Bacillati; Bacillota; Bacilli; Caryophanales; Staphylococcaceae
Description: partial 23S ribosomal RNA
Rfam family: Bacterial large subunit ribosomal RNA
Source: RNAcentral
UCCUAAGGCUAAAUACUCUCUAGUGACCGAUAGUGAACCAGUACCGUGAGGGAAAGGUGAAAAGCACCCCGGAAGGGGAGUGAAAUAGAACCUGAAACCGUGUGCUUACAAGUAGUCAGAGCCCGUUAAUGGGUGAUGGCGUGCCUUUUGUAGAAUGAACCGGCGAGUUACGAUUUGAUGCAAGGUUAAGCAGUAAAUGUGGAGCCGUAGCGAAAGCGAGUCUGAAUAGGGCGUUUAGUAUUUGGUCGUAGACCCGAAACCAGGUGAUCUACCCUUGGUCAGGUUGAAGUUCAGGUAACACUGAAUGGAGGACCGAACCGACUUACGUUGAAAAGUGAGCGGAUGAACUGAGGGUAGCGGAGAAAUUCCAAUCGAACCUGGAGAUAGCUGGUUCUCUCCGAAAUAGCUUUAGGGCUAGCCUCAAGUGAUGAUUAUUGGAGGUAGAGCACUGUUUGGACGAGGGGCCCCUCUCGGGUUACCGAAUUCAGACAAACUCCGAAUGCCAAUUAAUUUAACUUGGGAGUCAGAACAUGGGUGAUAAGGUCCGUGUUCGAAAGGGAAACAGCCCAGACCACCAGCUAAGGUCCCAAAAUAUAUGUUAAGUGGAAAAGGAUGUGGCGUUGCCCAGACAACUAGGAUGUUGGCUUAGAAGCAGCCAUCAUUUAAAGAGUGCGUAAUAGCUCACUAGUCGAGUGACACUGCGCCGAAAAUGUACCGGGGCUAAACAUAUUACCGAAGCUGUGGAUUGUCCUUUGGACAAUGGUAGGAGAGCGUUCUAAGGGCGUUGAAGCAUGAUCGUAAGGACAUGUGGAGCGCUUAGAAG